GGUGAAUGGAUUGUGUAUGGGCGUGAGAGUAAAACUUUACAAGGUCGAGAGUCAUACAAAAGCCAAAGCCGCAUUAAAGCCAGUCCCAGCCAGGCUUAAGGAGAGCUGGAAUGGAGAGGAUUCUCAUCUAACAUCUGGGUUGCAGUUGUAUGUUAACAUGGACUUCCUAGGAAGUAACAUAUCAAACAAAAGGGAAAGUGAUCAACCAGCAGCAGGUACCAGCCACAGUUAACUGCACCUGCUAGGAGCUCUGAAAGACUUUUUUUUUUUUUAAACGAAUAAAGAAAUUCUCAUUUCACUCUCCUCCACACUGGACUCGCUGAAGAAAGAGCUACUCUCUGAUGAAGUUGGUGGUGCUGUGGAAGAGGACCGCCGCCUCCUGGACGAGGACCGGGACCGCUCAGCAUUGUCUGACUGACAGGAAAGGACCCAGAUAAGAUCCUGGAGGCAAUGGGAUGUGUGGCUGCUCAACACAGACCGACCACACUUGCUCACUGCCGUGUCAUCUCAUACCCUUCCACCCUGGACAUACAUACCUUCUCACAUGCACCAAGACUCUGUGCAUGGAGAGAAUCCUCAAACCAACAGAAAAAUGAUUGACACAGAAGCCAAGUGCCAGCACUGCGUAUAAGUAACACUACCACCAUCCACAGUGAAGUUAAAAGGAGUUCGAGUAAAUUCUUAGAUCCAUCUUCAUACUUCCACUUCCUCAGACAGCCGGGAGAGCCACCUUUCAGAAGCUUUUUUCAUCUGAUCCUCAUGUCCUUUCAAAGGUGAUUUUGUCUCUUGAGGGAUUUCUGGUUGUCACAAGUUGGGGGUAGUGCUACUGGCAUCUAGUGUGUAGAAG
This is a long non-coding RNA of Homo sapiens (human), 847 nucleotides long. NCBI's taxonomy places the organism in Eukaryota, Metazoa, Chordata, Mammalia, Primates, Hominidae. The record is from Ensembl.